Molecule: ribosomal RNA, 469 nt
Filed under: uncultured Desulfobacteraceae bacterium
Lineage: Bacteria; Pseudomonadati; Thermodesulfobacteriota; Desulfobacteria; Desulfobacterales; Desulfobacteraceae
Description: bacterial SSU rRNA
Rfam family: Bacterial small subunit ribosomal RNA
Source: RNAcentral
GGCCUACGGGCGGCAGCAGUGAGGAAUUUUGCGCAAUGGGGGCAACCCUGACGCAGCAACGCCGCGUGAGUGAAGAAGGCCUUUGGGUCGUAAAGCUCUGUCAAUCGGGAAGAAGUUAUGGGAGUCGAAUAGGCUUUUGUAUUGACGGUACCGAUGAAGGAAGCAUCGGCUAACUCCGUGCCAGCAGCCGCGGUAAUACGGGGGAUGCAAGCGUUAUUCGGAAUUAUUGGGCGUAAAGGGCGCGUAGGCGGUUUUGUCGGUCAGAUGUGAAAGCCCGGGGCUCAACCCCGGACGUGCAUUUGAAACAGCAAGACUUGAGUACGGGAGAGGAAAGCGGAAUUCCUGGUGUAGAGGUGAAAUUCGUAGAUAUCAGGAGGAACACCGAUGGCGAAGGCAGCUUUCUGGACCGAUACUGACGCUGAGGCGCGAAGGCGUGGGUAGCGAACAGGAUUAGAUACCCUUGUAGUCC